Acinonyx jubatus (cheetah) is the source of this 1644-nucleotide long non-coding RNA. RefSeq lists it as uncharacterized. The record is from RefSeq and is a predicted model, not a curated record. NCBI's taxonomy places the organism in Eukaryota, Metazoa, Chordata, Mammalia, Carnivora, Felidae. The transcript has 5 exons.
AGGGCUACUCUUAUUUUUAAAUAUCCACCCUUAAUCCAUGAUGAAGGAAAGAUUACUUAGGCAUGACAGUCCUUCAGUUUGGAAUGCUGGUCAUUGGGAAUUACCUACUAGCUCUAGGAAGAUGUAACGCUCUGCUGGGUGCUGCUGCGGACCUGCCUGUACAAGUGCUCACCAGACACCGGUGAAACCCUCUUGGAAACAAUGAUGGGCAUUGUUGAGCUGGGUGGGGUGAGAAGAGGAACGUUGGUAACUACCAAUGAACCUUGGCCAAGCCCCCAUGUGGCAAGAAAAGCCGUUUCUCCUGUGAUUCCAUUUUCUGACUAGGAAGUAACGCUAAACUGUAAGAUUUAACACUCCUGAGGCAUCAAAGCCUCCAGGCUGUUAAGGAGCAGGCAGCAGAGGCCUCCUAGGGUCAGGGGCAAUGAAGGGCGGAGGCCCUGCACCAGCUUCCACCUUUCUGCGGCCGCCAGCCCUCACCCUCUUAGCCCACUGAGCAAGACGCGUCAGGGAGGAGUACAAGCCAUGCUUCAUCUCGCCGCCAAGCCAGGAGGACCCUUGCGGCUAAAUGAGACAAGCUAUUACCUAGCAGCUCAAAUUGAGCAACCCCAGGGAGGAGGCAAGCACAGGCGGAGACCACAAGCAAAACAAGGGCAAGAAACCCGAGUCUGCUUUGAAUAAAGCUGCUAGUGCCUACGCAUAAUGUUCUCUUAUCCCCACAUAGGAUGGAGCCACAGCCAGAACCCAGAUGGAAAGAUUGAGGCAUACAAAAGUUACGCAGCUUGGCCCAAGUCACAUGGAUAGGAAGUGGCAGAACUAUGAUUCAGAGCCAGGGACGUACUUUUAACUACUAUUGCUAUGAAAUUAAAGAAAUCAGAGAAAUUGAAAAGCAAAAAUGUUCCAACAUAUACAAAAGCAGAGAAAAUGGUAUAAUGAGCCCCAUGUACCCAUCAGCCAACUUGAACAACUAUCACUAUUUUGCUAUUCUUGCCUCAUGGAUUUCUUUCGAAAUAGAAAUUGUUAAGUCUCCACUCCAGGAGGGUCUGGAAUGUAUCUUUCAAGGAGGUGCCAGGUUGGAAUAGCCUAAACUCUGGUCCUGGGCCUGGGGCCACACCUGCUUAAGGAAGAUACUUCCUCAGUGCCCUGAAUCCACAUGCUACUAAAACAGAUCCCUCAACAUUGGCUACUCAAGCAAGCGAUUUCUCUCCUCCUGCACCAAAAGAAUCCACAUGGUGCCUCUUUCAACAGUUGAUGCCAGGGUGGAUCACAUACAAGAGAAUCCAACGUUAGCAAAGCAGGAAAGCACAAGUCUCUGGAACCACAGCUUUCAGGGAAGUGGGCUGUGGCUGGUGUGGAGAUGAUUCAGACUUCCACUGGGGUCAGAAGAGCAGGGGUGUAGCCAGAUUCCUACUUUAGAGAGGAGUCUGUGCUCACCAUUUUGUUUGCUGUAGAUAUGUUCUAUCCCUGUCUAGAAAGCAAGCUUGUUCUUUAGCGAACGUGUAGCCAAAUCUAGUUAUGCCCAGGUUCCAGGGAGGAAUACAUCGGAAAAACAAAUUCACAGAGAAGUUGUCACGGAUAUUUAGGGGGUUGAGGUCCUAGAAUGUUUUGUCUUCAUUUCUAAGUGCCCAAGUAUUUAAAAAUUAAUAU